Molecule: long non-coding RNA, 755 nt
Organism: Catharus ustulatus (Swainson's thrush)
Lineage: Eukaryota; Metazoa; Chordata; Aves; Passeriformes; Turdidae
Exons: 3
Source: RefSeq, a predicted model, not a curated record
CUCAAAAAACAUUGUCUCAUUUUUCUUGCUUGUUUAUGAAUGCAAAAAUUGUCAGCAGGUGCAGUUGGUGCUACUGAUAACAUUGAAAUUCUGACAGAAAUUGUGUUUUGGUGAAGACAGUGCCUUCUGGAUACAGGGAUUAAAUUUUAUUUUUUAUUAUGUAGUAUGUUUGACUUGAACUUCACCUUCUGCUCCUCAGUGGCAUGGUUCGCCUGAGGCUUUCCCUCUGUUCCUUCCUGUGCAAGGUACCUGAUAUUCCAGAGCAAUUAAAACACCUCAGGCACUUGGAACUCUCCACUGAAUUCCUUCUUAAAAAUAAUUUAAUUUUUAUUUUUUAAAUCAAAAAUCAUAGUUCACACAGCUGCAGAGAAAAGAAAAAAAAAAUCCGUCCUACAAGUGGUGAAGAUUCAAAUAAGGUUUUCUUCUCAAAUGAAGCUGGAAGCGUUUGUGGAACAUGCAGUUUGCAGGCAAAGGCACUGGGGAUAAGAAGGGAAGAGCUGCUCUCUGCAUGCCUGAGAAGGCUGGAUGAUUUGAAUGCAAAGAUAACAAACAUUUAUCUUGCCCUACAUUGAAACUAUGAGCUGACAGAUGGGGAUUAAAAACCUGGGUCAUUUAGACCAUCAUUAAUGUUCAUGUGAGAUGAUGAGAACCUCAGAUCCUUUCCUCAGAAAGGAGCUGGGGCCAGAGGGUUCAGGGAGAUGGAAAAGGGACAUAAUUCACUCCCCAGGAUACUGAGGGGAGCUUGCCCUGCUUCC